RNAcentral lists this ribosomal RNA (253 nucleotides) under uncultured bacterium. RNAcentral describes it as "partial 16S ribosomal RNA". It matches the Rfam family "Bacterial small subunit ribosomal RNA", at positions 524 to 776 of the family's 1533-position model. The record is from RNAcentral.
UACGUAGGUGGCAAGCGUUGUCCGGAUUUACUGGGUGUAAAGGGCGUGCAGCCGGGAGGACAAGUCAGAUGUGAAAUCCACAGGCUCAACCUGUGGACUGCAUUUGAAACUGUUUUUCUUGAGUACCGGAGAGGUCAUCGGAAUUCCUUGUGUAGCGGUGAAAUGCGUAGAUAUAAGGAAGAACACCAGUGGCGAAGGCGGAUGACUGGACGGCAACUGACGGUGAGGCGCGAAAGCGUGGGGAGCAAACAGG